RNAcentral lists this ribosomal RNA (427 nucleotides) under uncultured bacterium. RNAcentral's name for it is "partial 16S ribosomal RNA". It matches the Rfam family "Bacterial small subunit ribosomal RNA", at positions 355 to 774 of the family's 1533-position model. The record is from RNAcentral.
UGGGGAAUAUUGCACAAUGGGCGCAAGCCUGAUGCAGCCAUGCCGCGUGUAUGAAGAAGGCCUUCGGGUUGUAAAGUACUUUCAGCGGGGAGGAAGGCGAUAAGGUUAAUAACCUUGUCGAUUGACGUUACCCGCAGAAGAAGCACCGGCUAACUCCGUGCCAGCAGCCGCGGUAAUACGGAGGGUGCAAGCGUUAAUCGGAAUUACUGGGCGUAAAGCGCACGCAGGCGGUCUGGCAAGUCGGAUGUGAAAUCCCCGGGCUCAACCUGGGAACUGCAUUCGAAACUGGCAGGCUAGAGUCUUGUAGAGGGGGGUAGAAUUCCAGGUGUAGCGGUGAAAUGCGUAGAGAUCUGGAGGAAUACCGGUGGCGAAGGCGGCCCCCUGGACAAAGACUGACGCUCAGGUGCGAAAGCGUGGGGAGCAAACA